This 497-nucleotide ribosomal RNA is filed under the name uncultured bacterium. RNAcentral's name for it is "partial 16S ribosomal RNA". It matches the Rfam family "Bacterial small subunit ribosomal RNA", at positions 28 to 507 of the family's 1533-position model. The record is from RNAcentral.
GACGAACGCUGGCGGCGUGCCUAAUACAUGCAAGUUGAGCGCUGAAGGUUGGUACUUGUACCAACUGGAUGAGCAGCGAACGGGUGAGUAACGCGUGGGGAAUCUGCCUUUGAGCGGGGGACAACAUUUGGAAACGAAUGCUAAUACCGCAUAAAAACUUUAAACACAAGUUUUAAGUUUGAAAGAUGCAAUUGCAUCACUCAAAGAUGAUCCCGCGUUGUAUUAGCUAGUUGGUGAGGUAAAGGCUCACCAAGGCGAUGAUACAUAGCCGACCUGAGAGGGUGAUAGGCCACAUUGGGACGGAGACACGGCCCAAACUCCUACGGGAGGCAGCAGUAGGGAAUCUUCGGCAAUGGACGAAAGUCUGACCGAGCAACGCCGCGUGAGUGAAGAAGGUUGUCGGAUCGUAAAACUCUGUUGGUAGAGAAGAACGUUGGUGAGAGUGGAAAGCUCAUCAAGUGACGGUAACUACCCAGAAAGGGACGGCUAACUACGUG